AGUGAAACCUGGAGUCCACGAUGAAGGGCCACGGAGGAUGUCCUGGGUACAGGCCCGUGGACCUGCCACCCUCCAGGAGGCCCUCUCUUCCCAGGGGUAGGACUGACACCGGCUCCGGCGGGAAACGGAAGAAGGAAAACAGCAUGUAUUGAUAACAACCAUGGGCCAGGAAUUGUGCUAAAAGCUCUAUAUGCCUUAUGUAACUGAGUCCUCACAGCAGGGAUAACAGGGGAGAGUGCAAAUGCAGUUCCCCAUUACCACAAAUUAUGAAGUCGAGUUUCCCACCUUUGGGGAAAUUGCAGGGAUCAGCACAUCCAGAGUACAAUGGAGAAGACUCGCCCUGGGAAAACCACCUUUGUGAUCAUGGUCUCUCCCCUGAUGGAAUACAAUUGGAAAAACUGGUUAUUUUCCCAAGGCUUUGACUGGAAUGGUGUGCUCUCCUCUAAGGAAUCAAACUUAAGAAGCCAAUGAAACCCUUGGAAAACUGGCCUCAUAUUUUGUGUGCACAGUCCCUGUACAGGGUUUCUGAUGUGUGUUUAAAUUAUAUCCGUUACAGAAAUCAACUCCUGGAUACAUCAUAUUCAAGUCAAAGCCUAAAGAGCUGAGAAAGCAACCCCUAACAGUCCAAAAAAAGUCCUAUUCAUGUAAAAAAAUAAAUAAGAAAUCUUAAGCUAAAAAUCAUAAAAGUUAAGUAACUAAGUAAAAAUUGCUCAUCUUACUCAGUCUCAACCCCACCUCACCAAAUACUUUUUGUCGUUUCUACUUCUCCUUUUAAGCCAACUAUUAAAACCUUUUUUAAUGAAAAUUAUUUACUAUGACACCCUCGCGGGAACUGCUGUACUCACUCUACUAUUUGCAGUAGGACUGUGAACCCUCAGAGUGGAAUAUCUGACAGAGAAUCUCAAUUACUGUAGCAUUUUGCUUAAUUAUUAUCCUCAUAGCAGGAAUAACAGUUACUAACAAAAAAUAACACAUGGGUCUUUCCAAACAUGCACCUCUGCCUGUCAUUAAAAAAAAAAAAAAAAAAAGUUACUUCUGUCUCAACCAGUCGG
This 1052-nucleotide long non-coding RNA is filed under the name Homo sapiens (human). RNAcentral's name for it is "HSALNT0314334". The record is from RNAcentral. Lineage: Eukaryota; Metazoa; Chordata; Mammalia; Primates; Hominidae.